GGGGAUGACUGGUAUCGACAGAAGGCGCUCUUUUAAAACUGCAAGCCUCCUUUGAUUAACAGGAGUAAAACAGAAUCAAAAAACAAAAGACAAAUCUUUUGAUGUGUCUCCUCGUGCUGACAGCUUUGCUGUCAACUACGCUUUUGCGUAAAAAGGCAUCUUUUAAGUUUUUGCUUGUCGGAACUUUUAAGGUGUAAACAAAGACAAGACGCAAAUGCUAUGGCAGUUAAGACUAUAGUAUCCAUGUUCAAACUUAACAACCUUUAACUUUCUUGGUUAGCGGAUCAAGUUAAAGGUAUUAAUGCUAACCUACGCUUGUAGAUGUUUUAAAAAGUUCUUUUUGGAUUCCGGUUCAAUUCCGGACAUCUCCACAC
RNAcentral lists this transfer-messenger RNA (374 nucleotides) under Patescibacteria group. RNAcentral's name for it is "f UM-FILTER-40-11 X1 Standard tmRNA". It matches the Rfam family "transfer-messenger RNA". From Rfam's summary of the family: Bacterial tmRNA, also known as 10Sa RNA or SsrA, is named for its dual tRNA and mRNA-like properties. RNAcentral also lists the same sequence under 1 other name. The record is from RNAcentral.